This 138-nucleotide small RNA is filed under the name Salmonella enterica subsp. enterica serovar Miami. RNAcentral's name for it is "RtT sRNA". It matches the Rfam family "RtT RNA". From Rfam's summary of the family: This family represents a bacterial cis-regulatory element known as RtT RNA. The exact function of RtT is unknown although it is thought that it may be involved in changing the cellular response in relation to amino acid starvation. The record is from RNAcentral. Lineage: Bacteria; Pseudomonadati; Pseudomonadota; Gammaproteobacteria; Enterobacterales; Enterobacteriaceae.
UAUCUCUCCGUACGGGGAAGGAUGAGAAGCUUCGACUAAGGUUCGAUUCGAGCGCAGCGAGAAAGCGUUGCCGUAGGCAACGACCCGAAGGGCGAAGGGCGAAGCGCGCAGCGCUGAGUAAUCCUUCCCCCGUCAUCC